GCCUGAAUAGUGUAGUGGUUUGAACAUUGGGCUAUGAUUCUGGAGACCAGGGUUCAAAUCCCCACUCAGCCA
This 72-nucleotide transfer RNA is filed under the name Phrynosoma platyrhinos (Desert horned lizard). RNAcentral's name for it is "tRNA-OTHER". Lineage: Eukaryota; Metazoa; Chordata; Lepidosauria; Squamata; Phrynosomatidae. The record is from RNAcentral.